UACGGAGGGUGCGAGCGUUGUCCGGAAUCACUGGGCGGAAAGGGCGCGUAGGCGGCGCGGGUAGUCAUCGGUGAAAGUUCAGGGCUCAACUCUGAAUCGGCCGGUGAUACUCCCGUGCUCGAGCACUGUAGAGGCAGGUGGAAUUCCGGGUGUAGCGGUGGAAUGCGUAGAGAUCCGGAAGAACACCGGUGGCGAAGGCGGUUCUCUGGGCAUGUCCUGACGCUGAGGAGCGAAAGUGUGGGGAGCGAACAGG
Molecule: ribosomal RNA, 253 nt
Filed under: uncultured bacterium
Lineage: Bacteria
Description: partial 16S ribosomal RNA
Rfam family: Bacterial small subunit ribosomal RNA
Source: RNAcentral